Molecule: ribosomal RNA, 431 nt
Filed under: uncultured bacterium
Lineage: Bacteria
Description: partial 16S ribosomal RNA
Rfam family: Bacterial small subunit ribosomal RNA
Source: RNAcentral
AACGAACGCUGGCGGCAGGCUUAACACAUGCAAGUCGAGCGCCUCGCAAGAGGAGCGGCAGACGGGUGAGUAGCGCGUGGGAACGUACCCUUAUCUUCGGAAUAGCUCUGGGAAACUGGAAGUAAUACCGAAUGUGCCCUUAGGGGGCAAGAUUUAUCGGAUAAGGAUCGGCCCGCGUUGGAGUAGCUAGUUGGUGGGGUAAAGGCCUACCAAGGCGACGAUCCAUAGCUGGUCUGAGAGGAUGAUCAGACACAUUGGGACUGAGACACGGCCCAAACUCCUGCGGGAAGCAGCAGGGGGGAAUAUUGGACAAGGGGCGCAAGCCUGAGCCAGCCAGGCCGCGUGAGUGAUGAAGGCCUUAGGGUUGUAAAGCUCUUUCACCGGAGAAGAUAAUGACGGUAUCCGGAGAAGAAGCCCCGGCUAACUUCGUG